GACAUCGGUUACUAUCAGGUAAGCCUGUAAAGCAGCGAGCUAAUUUACCUCCCAAAAGAUUCGCCAUCAAAGAGUGGCGCUGUGGCCCCGUUCAAAUACACGCGUCCAUCCAAGGCGUCUUUGCGUCACACUUCAGGGAGGUAAACACAGCAGUCGAGUGGAGAGGACGCUGAGUCAAGCGUGAAGAUCAAUCUACCUGCGUCAGGGCCAGCACCCACCUGCUCCCAGGUGUCUCCACCCGAUGUCCAUGAAGGGAAAGAGUUUCCACACAGGUG
Nerophis ophidion (straightnose pipefish) is the source of this 275-nucleotide long non-coding RNA. RefSeq lists it as uncharacterized. The transcript has 4 exons. Lineage: Eukaryota; Metazoa; Chordata; Actinopteri; Syngnathiformes; Syngnathidae. The record is from RefSeq and is a predicted model, not a curated record.